Suncus etruscus (white-toothed pygmy shrew) is the source of this 108-nucleotide small nuclear RNA. The record is from RefSeq and is a predicted model, not a curated record. NCBI's taxonomy places the organism in Eukaryota, Metazoa, Chordata, Mammalia, Eulipotyphla, Soricidae.
AUGCUCACUUCGGCAGCACAAACACUAAAAAUUGGGACAAUACGGAGAAGAUUAACAUGGCCCCUGCGCAAGAAUGACUCACAAAUUUGUGUAGAGUUUCAUAUUAAA